Molecule: long non-coding RNA, 532 nt
Organism: Phymastichus coffea
Lineage: Eukaryota; Metazoa; Arthropoda; Insecta; Hymenoptera; Eulophidae
Exons: 3
Source: RefSeq, a predicted model, not a curated record
UUAUUGAAAGUGUACGAGCCUUCGAUAGUCAACGACGCAGUAUCAUACUGUCGAUCGUUUUGUCUUUUCGCGUCAAAUUGAAAGCUUGGCAGAAAUAAAACAUUUGAGAAUGGUGAAAAUGAUACUGGCGUACGUGUGUAUCUACGUGUUCUUGUGCCUCAUUUUGUCAGAAACUAACGCUGAAAAAUAUGAACAGUUUGAAGAUCCUAAGUUGCUCUUGGCUCUAAAAAAAUUCAAUCAUCAGUCCAUGCCUACUCCUACGAGUGUCAUAGAUCCUGGUUGUAGGCCAUGUUACAAAAAAGAUUCACGAGGCAAAUGCCGCAAAGUCAUCGAUUGUCAGCCAUAAAGAAACCUGGAAUAAAUAAAUUCAUCGGAAUGUUACUACAAAUUGAUCGAUGCUAUUAUACACAUCUGCAUACGGCAGAGCAACAAUUUACCAACGUUUAUGUAUCAAAAACUACGAAUUUUAUUUAGAUCACAACUUCUCAUGAUUGUAAAAAUAAAGACUCGUUUAAGUAUGCAUUCUUUUAAA